CAACAGCUCAAAUUUGAAAUCUGGCCUCGUCGGGGCCCGAGUUGUAAUUUGUAGAGGGUGUUUCGGGCGCGAUGCCGGUCUAAGUUCCUUGGAACAGGACGUCGUAGAGGGUGAGAAUCCCGUAUGCGACCGGCGAUCAAGCCCGUGCGAAGCCCCUUCGACGAGUCGAGUUGUUUGGGAAUGCAGCUCAAAAUGGGUGGUAAAUUUCAUCUAAAGCUAAAUACCGGCCAGAGACCGAUAGCGGACAAGUAGAGUGAUCGAAAGAUGAAAAGCACUUUGGAAAGAGAGUCAAACAGUACGUGAAAUUGUUGAAAGGGAAGCGCUUGCAAUCAGACCGGUCCGGAGGCGAUCAGCCGCUGCUCGUCAGCGGUGCACUCGCCUGCGAUCCGGCCAGCAUCGGUUUGGGCGGCGGGACAAAAGUCCCGGGAAUGUAGCUUCUCUCGGGGAGUCUUAUAGCCCGGGUCGCAAUGCCGCCCGCCCGGACCGAGGACCGCGCUUCGGCUAGGAUGCUGGCGUAAUGGUUGCAAGCG
This 530-nucleotide ribosomal RNA is filed under the name Sticta fuliginoides. RNAcentral describes it as "eukaryotic LSU rRNA". It matches the Rfam family "Eukaryotic large subunit ribosomal RNA", at positions 102 to 646 of the family's 3401-position model. Lineage: Eukaryota; Fungi; Ascomycota; Lecanoromycetes; Peltigerales; Lobariaceae. The record is from RNAcentral.